UGCAAAAAGUAUUGACAGCUUGGCGCUGCCUUUCAAUGGGCUUACCAUGCUGCUUUCCAAACCAGAUUGCCUUCAUAAUCAAUCCUGGGAAGAGGAAUAAACAGCCCUCAUGCAAUUAAUUUUCUAUACGAAUUGGUUCAUACCCCCUACUCUUUUCCUUUAGCAGGUAAAUGGUUGCAGAUAGAAGAUUUAUUAGAGAUUUUACAUCCAGCCCAUGAGGAUUUUGACUGAUUCCAUUGAGCAGGCUCAGCCAUUAAAAGAAGUCUUCGACUGGAUGACAAGAGCUAAAAGCAAUACUGCAUGCACCCUUACUCUGGUCUUCUUCAUUUCUGCUGUGCAAUGCUACUACCUUCAGCAACCACACUAAAUACUGGGUGCCAAAUGAUAAUGCUGAGCAAAUGCACACCAAUUAAAACGUGAUUAUACCUGUCCUGUGGAUAAGAAUCUGCAAAACCGAAGAAUGGAGCUGAUAAAAUGCGCAGUGGGAGGGAGAUUUUGUUGGAGCAUGAAACUAUACGGCAUGUGAGUUCUGCCUUUUUUGCCUCCUAACUGUUGAUACCCAACUACUUUCAGCGCAAAUUGAGCUCAUGUGUCUCCUCCUUGCUACUCUGUCUUGUUUAGUUUUUGUAGGAUCCAUGAUGGUUAGAUGAUAGAAUCAUUAAAUCUUUCUACUCCCCCGCCCCCGCUUUUAAGAGGUUAAAAGUUAAGGACCAAGGUUAAGUGAUUUGUCCAGGGUCACAUACUGAUGUUAACACGACUGAAACCCACAUCCCUUAACCUCCCAACGAAUUAUGUUGAAUGCUUCAGUGCAACACACAUUUAAAUUUUUUACAACCCGCUCUUCCUAUUAUAUCCAGAUACUUGUCAUGUCUCUGACCCAGACCUAAUAUUCCUAAUGGCAUUGAUAAGAGUUAAAUCUGCAAAAAUAUCUCAAGAGCUUCAGAGGCUGUUCUUCCUUUAGUGAUUACUUGUUAAUUGCAGGUCUGUCCUUCAGUUUUGGGAAUUGCUGAUGGGACCACUUUUAGACAGUGGCUGAUAUGACAAAUACAUUACAUAUGAAAGCCAUUCAAUUCUGUAAUAAAACCCCAGGUCAAGCGAACAUGUCACCAG
Molecule: long non-coding RNA, 1110 nt
Filed under: Fukomys damarensis (Damara mole-rat)
Lineage: Eukaryota; Metazoa; Chordata; Mammalia; Rodentia; Bathyergidae
Description: lncRNA (ENSFDAG00000028616.1)
Source: RNAcentral